AUUGAACGCUGGCGGCAUGCUUUACACAUGCAAGUCGAACGGUAACAGGGUGCUUGCACCGCUGACGAGUGGCGAACGGGUGAGUAAUGCGUCGGAACGUGCCGAGUAGUGGGGGAUAACGCAUCGAAAGGUGUGCUAAUACCGCAUACGUACUGAGGUAGAAAGUGGGGGACCUUCGGGCCUCACGCUAUUCGAGCGGCCGACGUCUGAUUAGCUAGUUGGUGAGGUAAAGGCUCACCAAGGCGACGAUCAGUAGCGGGUCUGAGAGGAUGAUCCGCCACACUGGGACUGAGACACGGCCCAGACUCCAACGGGAGGCAGCAGUGGGGAAUUUUGGACAAUGGGCGCAAGCCUGAUCCAGCCAUGCCGCGUGUCUGAAGAAGGCCUUCGGGUUGUAAAGGACUUUUGUCCGGGAGCAAAUACCCAGUGCUAAUAACGCUGGGGGCUGAGAGUACCGGAAGAAUAAGCACCGGCUAACUACGUGCCAGCAGCCGCCGCGG
Molecule: ribosomal RNA, 500 nt
Filed under: uncultured bacterium
Lineage: Bacteria
Description: partial 16S ribosomal RNA
Rfam family: Bacterial small subunit ribosomal RNA
Source: RNAcentral